AGAGGGGUAAGCCCUCGGCAUAUUGCUCAGUAACACGCGGAUAACCUGCCCUUGGGUUUGGGAUAACCCCGGGAAACUGGGACUAAUACCGGAUAGAUCAAAGAUACUGGAAUGUUCUUUGGUCGAAAGCUCCGGCGCCCAAGGAUGGGUCUGCGGCCUAUCAGGUAGUAGUGGGUGUAACGUACCUACUAGCCUACGACGGGUAAGGGUUGUGAGAGCAAGAGCCCUGAGAUGGAUUCUGAGACAUGAAUCCAGGCCCUACGGGGUGCAGCAGGCGCGAAAACUUUACACUGCGGGAAACCGCGAUAAGGGGACCCCGAGUGCCAGCACCUAGUGCUGGCUGUCCAGCUGUUCAAAAAACAGUUGUUAGCAAGGGCCGGGCAAGACCGGUGCCAGCCGCCGCGGUAACACCGGCGGCCCGAGUGGUAGCCGUUAUUAUUGGGUUUAAAGGGUCCGUAGCCGGCCUAUUAAGUCUCUUGGGAAAUCUGGCGACUCAAUCGUCAGGCGUUCAAGAGAUACUGGUAGGCUUGGGACCGGGAGAGGUGGGAGGUACUCCAGGGGUAGGGGUGAAAUCUCGUAAUCCUUGGGGGACCACCGAUGGCGAAGGCAUCCCACCAGAACGGGUCCGACGGUGAGGGACGAAAGCUGGGGGCACGAACCGGAUUAGAUACCCGGGUAGUCCCAGCUGUAAACGAUGCUCGCUAGGUGUCAGGUGCGGUGCGACCGCAUUUUGGUGCCGUAGUGAAAACU
RNAcentral lists this ribosomal RNA (750 nucleotides) under uncultured archaeon. Its description in RNAcentral is "bacterial SSU rRNA". It matches the Rfam family "Archaeal small subunit ribosomal RNA", at positions 61 to 814 of the family's 1478-position model. The record is from RNAcentral.